This is a long non-coding RNA of Dalotia coriaria, 572 nucleotides long. RefSeq lists it as uncharacterized. The transcript has 4 exons. Lineage: Eukaryota; Metazoa; Arthropoda; Insecta; Coleoptera; Staphylinidae. The record is from RefSeq and is a predicted model, not a curated record.
UGUAAUGUAAAGCGACACGUAUAAAAUAGAUUUGUUUAAAAUGCCAAAACUUGGGAUAAUUAUAUUUGUGGUAGCUAUAACACUACAUCUGCUUUAUAUCACUGAAAGUGCGCGAAAAUAUAAAAUUGUGUUCGAAAGAGGUUUGGUGACGAAUUUCAACCGCACACUCGGCGGUAAUGUAAACCUUAAAUUUGUUAAAGUGAAUCGAACCGCAUUUGCUCUCAAUGUGAACUUUGACUUGUUCAAAGAUAUGAAUGUUGAUUUAAUGAAAAUAUCGGGCCAAGUAUACAAAUUAACAGCAAACGAUUAUAAACUGUAUCCUGUUUCUAUGACUCUUCCUAUUUGUACGAUCGCAAAAAAGGAUUUUGUUGUAAAGUGGUCGGAAGUGCAUCAAUAUUCAAAUAUUCCAUUCUGUGGAGCAAUGAAAGCGGGGCCAUAUUGGGUAAAAAACUAUGUGAUUAAUCUCGUCGCUCCAAAUCUGGGACCACUCAUGUCGGGCCGAUACAAAAUCCAUGGUGUAAUCAGCGAAAAUAACAAAACUUUGUUGUUUGAGGGAGAUGUUUAUGGCGGAC